UACGAAGGGGGCUAGCGUUGCUCGGAAUUACUGGGCGUAAAGGGCGCGUAGGCGGACAGUUUAGUCAGAGGUGAAAGCCCAGGGCUCAACCCUGGAAUUGCCUUUGAUACUGACUGUCUUGAGUACGGGAGAGGUGUGUGGAACUCCGAGUGUAGAGGUGAAAUUCGUAGAUAUUCGGAAGAACACCAGUGGCGAAGGCGACACACUGGCCCGUUACUGACGCUGAGGCGCGAAAGCGUGGGGAGCAGACAGG
This 253-nucleotide ribosomal RNA is filed under the name uncultured bacterium. RNAcentral's name for it is "partial 16S ribosomal RNA". It matches the Rfam family "Bacterial small subunit ribosomal RNA", at positions 524 to 776 of the family's 1533-position model. The record is from RNAcentral.